GACGAACGCUGGCGGCGUGCUUAACACAUGCAAGUCGAACGGAAAGGCCCUGCUCUUGUGGGUCGCUCGAGUGGCGAAAGGGUGAGUAACACGUGAGUAACCUGCCCUUGACUUUGGGAUAACUUCAGGAAACUGGGGCUAAUAACGGAUAGGAGCUCCUGCUGCAUGGUGGGGGUUGGAAAGUUUCGGCGGGUGGGGAUGGACUCGCGGAUCAUCAGCUUGUUGGUGGGGUAGUGGCUUACCAAGGCUUUGACGGGUAGCCGACCAGAGAGGGUGACCGGGCACAUUGCGACUGAGGUACGGCCCAGAAUCCUACGGGAGGCAGCGGUGGGGAGUAUUGCACAAUGGGCGGAAGCCUGAUACAACGGCGCCGCGUGCGGGAUGCCGGCCUUCGGGUUAUAAACCGCUUUCGAAUGUGACGAAGCGUGAGUGACGGUAAUGGGUAAAGAAGCACCGGCUAACUACGUG
Molecule: ribosomal RNA, 468 nt
Filed under: uncultured bacterium
Lineage: Bacteria
Description: partial 16S ribosomal RNA
Rfam family: Bacterial small subunit ribosomal RNA
Source: RNAcentral